Molecule: unclassified non-coding RNA, 452 nt
Filed under: Pichia sp. 1 CS-2017
Lineage: Eukaryota; Fungi; Ascomycota; Pichiomycetes; Pichiales; Pichiaceae
Description: sequence contains ITS1
Rfam family: 5.8S ribosomal RNA (bases 88-240)
Source: RNAcentral
CACUGCGUGAGCGGAACGAAAACAACAACACCUAAAAUGUGGAAUAUAGCAUAUAGUCGACAAGAGAAAUCUACGAAAAACAAACAAAACUUUCAACAACGGAUCUCUUGGUUCUCGCAUCGAUGAAGAGCGCAGCGAAAUGCGAUACCUAGUGUGAAUUGCAGCCAUCGUGAAUCAUCGAGUUCUUGAACGCACAUUGCGCCCCUCGGCAUUCCGGGGGGCAUGCCUGUUUGAGCGUCGUUUCCAUCUUGCGCGUGCGCAGAGUUGGGGGAGCGGAGCGGACGACGUGUAAAGAGCGUCGGAGCUGCGACUCGCCUGAAAGGGAGCGAAGCUGGCCGAGCGAACUAGACUUUUUUUCAGGGACGCUUGGCGGCCGAGAGCGAGUGUUGCGAGACAACAAAAAGCUCGACCUCAAAUCAGGUAGGAAUACCCGCUGAACUUAAGCAUAUCAA